This 433-nucleotide ribosomal RNA is filed under the name uncultured bacterium. RNAcentral describes it as "partial 16S ribosomal RNA". It matches the Rfam family "Bacterial small subunit ribosomal RNA", at positions 29 to 507 of the family's 1533-position model. The record is from RNAcentral.
AACGAACGCUGGCGGCAGGCUUAACACAUGCAAGUCGAGCGCGCCCUUCGGGGUGAGCGGCGGACGGGUGAGUAACGCGUGGGAACGUGCCCUUCUCUGCGGAAUAGCCUCGGGAAACUGAGAGUAAUACCGCAUACGCCCUUUGGGGGAAAGAUUUAUCGGAGAAGGAUCGGCCCGCGUUGGAUUAGGUAGUUGGUGGGGUAAUGGCCCACCAAGCCGACGAUCCAUAGCUGGUUUGAGAGGAUGAUCAGCCACACUGGGACUGAGACACGGCCCAGACUCCUACGGGAGGCAGCAGUGGGGAAUCUUAGACAAUGGGGGCAACCCUGAUCUAGCCAUGCCGCGUGAGUGAUGAAGGCCUUAGGGUUGUAAAGCUCUUUCAGCUGGGAAGAUAAUGACGGUACCAGCAGAAGAAGCCCCGGCUAACUCCGUG